CCAGUCCAAUUAUACAGUACAAAAAAAUAAAUAAUGCGGAAAUAUAAAUCUAUUCUAUCCUAGAAUAAUCCUAUGCUACGCUCUAACGCUUCACCCGACGCCUCGGGCCUUCACCACGAACAUCUUCCAAGUACAAGGUACUUCGGGGCAUUCCCCGGGUAAAUCAAUACAAAUCCUUCGGGGCAUUCCUCGGCCAAAUGAGUACAAUUUAAACUUUUCGUGCAAUAAAGUAGAAAGUACCAUUCAUGCAUAUAUUCAAACACUCCAACAAAUCAUUAUUUCUAAAUUUGACUACCCGACCUACAUUUGCCGAUCCAAG
This 319-nucleotide long non-coding RNA is filed under the name Capsicum annuum. Its description in RNAcentral is "long non-coding RNA (CANN_LNC010822)". The record is from RNAcentral. Lineage: Eukaryota; Viridiplantae; Streptophyta; Magnoliopsida; Solanales; Solanaceae.